Molecule: ribosomal RNA, 441 nt
Filed under: uncultured bacterium
Lineage: Bacteria
Description: partial 16S ribosomal RNA
Rfam family: Bacterial small subunit ribosomal RNA
Source: RNAcentral
CCUACGGGAGGCAGCAGUGGGGAAUAUUGCACAAUGGGGGAAACCCUGAUGCAGCGACGCCGCGUGAGUGAAGAAGGACUUCGGUAUGUAAAGCUCUAUCAGCAGGGAAGAAGAAAGACGGUACCUGACUACGACGACCCGGCUAACUACGUGCCAGCAGCCGCGGUAAUACGUAGGGGGCAAGCGUUAUCCGGAUUUACUGGGUGUAAAGGGAGCGUAGACGGUAGUGCAAGUCUGAAGUGAAAGCCGAGGGCUCAACCCUGGGACUGCUUUGGAAACUGUGGUGCUUGAGUGCUGGAGAGGUAAGUGGAAUGCCUGGUGUAGCGGUGAAAUGUAUAUAUAUUAGGAGGAACACCAGUGGCGAAGGCAGCUUACUGGACAGUAACUGACGUUGAGGCUCGAAAGCGUGGGGAGCAAACAGGAUUAGAUACCCUAGUAGUC